UACGUAGGGUGCAAGCGUUAAUCGGAAUUACUGGGCGUAAAGCGUGCGCAGGCGGCUAUGCAAGACAGAUGUGAAAGCCCCGGGCUUAACCUGGGAACUGCGUUUGAAACUGGGAGACUUGAGUGUGGCAGAGGGGCGUGGAAUUCCACGUGUAGCAGUGAAAUGCGUAGAUAUGUGGAGGAACACCGAUGGCGAAGGCAGCCCCCUGGGUUAACACUGACGCUCAUGCACGAAAGCGUGGGGAGCAAACAGG
Molecule: ribosomal RNA, 253 nt
Filed under: uncultured bacterium
Lineage: Bacteria
Description: partial 16S ribosomal RNA
Rfam family: Bacterial small subunit ribosomal RNA
Source: RNAcentral